Molecule: long non-coding RNA, 684 nt
Filed under: Struthio camelus australis
Lineage: Eukaryota; Metazoa; Chordata; Aves; Struthioniformes; Struthionidae
Description: lncRNA (ENSSCUG00000007857.1)
Source: RNAcentral
CUUUGACGUGCCACAGGCUUUUGGCUUAGGUAAUAAGGGAUAAGAUAUGCUUUUCUUUCUGCUAACAGCCCAUCUUGUCUGCUUUCUUUCUGUUCAGGUUGCUGAAACUGAGAAUGAAUCCCCUGAAAAGGGAAUGCUUCAGGAGACCCCAAGCAAAGAACAAAAAGCUGCUAUGGUGCCUGCUGAGAAAAGGUUCGCUCUGCUUGAAUCAGAUGGUAACAGACUUGGGUAUACAAUAUUGACAAGAAACACAGAGCACCUGGGCCCUACCCCUGAGAACAGCGGAGCUGGAGAUGAAAACAUCUGAACCCUUCAGAAAAGGCUCCAGAUGAGGUGAACCUGCUGUUGAAUUGUUACCUGCAUUCUUUACACGUCAUUAGGUGUUUGGAUUUAAUUCCAUAUCUUUCUCCUCAAAGCCUGCCAAGCAUAUCCAGUUUCUGCCAAGUGAUUAGAAGCUGACUUUGUUUAUUUGAGAACCGCGGGCAAAGCUGAUCAACAGCAGCGCUUUCAGUUCUGUUUGGAGGUGCAGGUUGAGAGGAGACCUGGAGUGGGCCUCACAGCAAACUUGCAGUCACAUUGCCUUAAGUAACAUUGUACAGCCAGGACAACACAAUCUAGGAAAUGAAUGAGUUUAACAUUUAUUCAUGAGUGAGGCAUUCUGGGAGAAUUCUUAGUAUCUUUUUC